UCAAGUUGGGUACCCACGGGUAGU
RNAcentral lists this non-coding RNA (24 nucleotides) under Arabidopsis thaliana (thale cress). The record is from RNAcentral. Lineage: Eukaryota; Viridiplantae; Streptophyta; Magnoliopsida; Brassicales; Brassicaceae.